UCGGAGACAAAGGAUCCUCUGAGAGUUCAGCCGCAUCUCAAGAAAUGUUUCGAUGGUAUCCAUUCGCUGCAGUUCGAUCAGAGUAUGGAGAUCAUGGCUAUGAUAUCGAUAGAAGGUGAAAUUGUGCCCCUAACAAAAAGGAUCAAUCCAGCUUCGGCUAAUGGCCUAGUUGAGAAAUGGCUCAAGG
Molecule: long non-coding RNA, 187 nt
Filed under: Lutzomyia longipalpis
Lineage: Eukaryota; Metazoa; Arthropoda; Insecta; Diptera; Psychodidae
Description: rhabdomyosarcoma 2 associated transcript conserved region 9
Source: RNAcentral